GAAAUAAAUGCUUCUUGUUCUUGACGAUAAUUAUUCUUAUUCCACGAGUUUGACAUGUUGUAUAAAGUGAAUAUUUAUUUUUCCUGAUAAGAAAUUUAAAAAGAAAUAUUAUUGGAUAUAAUUUCAAACGAAAUAUCACAAGAAAUACCAAAGAAAACGACAAAGAAAUUUUUUAUGAAAGAAGAUUAAUGAAAUAAAUUCAUUAAAAAAUAUAAAACCAAUACAUUGAUUAAUAU
Molecule: long non-coding RNA, 236 nt
Organism: Apis dorsata (giant honeybee)
Lineage: Eukaryota; Metazoa; Arthropoda; Insecta; Hymenoptera; Apidae
Exons: 2
Source: RefSeq, a predicted model, not a curated record